Molecule: ribosomal RNA, 253 nt
Filed under: uncultured bacterium
Lineage: Bacteria
Description: partial 16S ribosomal RNA
Rfam family: Bacterial small subunit ribosomal RNA
Source: RNAcentral
UACGAAGGGGGCUAGCGUUGCUCGGAAUUACUGGGCGUAAAGCGCACGUAGGCGGCUUUCUAAGUCGGGGGUGAAAUCCUGGAGCUCAACUCCAGAACUGCCCUUGAUACUGAGAGGCUCGAGUCCGGGAGAGGUGAGUGGAACUCCGAGUGUAGAGGUGAAAUUCGUAGAUAUUCGGAAGAACACCAGUGGCGAAGGCGGCUCACUGGCCCGGUACUGACGCUGAGGUGCGAAAGCGUGGGGAGCAAACAGG